Molecule: transfer RNA, 62 nt
Filed under: Lucidina sp. FM13
Lineage: Eukaryota; Metazoa; Arthropoda; Insecta; Coleoptera; Lampyridae
Description: tRNA-Leu
Source: RNAcentral
GUUGUUUUGGCAGAUUAGUGUGAUUGAUUUAGGAUCUUUAAAUGUAUAUUUUACAAACAAUA